AAACUCUUCCUGAAAUUGCUCUUCUGUCUGAGCUUUUCAAAAUAAAGUGUUAAGACAAGAACUAAAUAUGAUCAGAACAACAAACAGUAGCACACUGCCCUUCGAUCACAUUUGCCUGAGAAGAGACAUGGGUGUGUGUGUGUGGCGGGGGUGAAUGUGAUAGUUUUAGAUCUAUGGAUAACCAAUGGGUGUGCUUCAAAGGAAUUUAAAGUCCAACUGAGAGAAUCACAUCAACCUGAUAGGUAAAAUGAUUUUUACCUGAUUUUAGCCUUUGGAGACAUGUUAAGCCCAAGUCCCCUUAAACCUGGACAAUUGGUCACCUAUGAAGUCAUAGCAGCUUCAGGGAUGACAUUGUGCUCAGCAGUGCUCCGUGGUCACCAUUGUCAUCAGACUAGCACUAGGUCAGAAGGACGAAAAGAGCCUCUAAUGAACAUGAGCAUACCGGCAAUUCUGAAAUCCAGCUAGCGAUCAGAAGUUCUCAGGCUGUUUAUUGAAAAGCAAAGUAAAUAAAGGGACGGACGGUGCCUCGCCUGAAAAGCUCUGUGGUCAGCUGGAGUCAGCAGGCUCUGUUUAUUAUGCCCUUCUCAUUAGUUCUCUGCAUGGAAGGUAAACGCAGACUAGAGAUGAAGACCUGGAGUCAGAAGUGACUUCUGAAGACCUGAUUCCAGCUCCUACAUCAGGAGGCUCACAGCCACUAUAACCGCAGCUCUGGGAGAAUCUGACCCCUCUGGCUUCUGCAAGCCCCUUCACUUGUGGGGCACCUCUCCACACACAGCCACACCAUUGAGAAUAACACAAAUGCAAAAUAAAAAGAACACAAAAGAAA
Long non-coding RNA from Arvicola amphibius (Eurasian water vole), 826 nucleotides. RefSeq lists it as uncharacterized. NCBI's taxonomy places the organism in Eukaryota, Metazoa, Chordata, Mammalia, Rodentia, Cricetidae. The transcript has 2 exons. The record is from RefSeq and is a predicted model, not a curated record.